This 1011-nucleotide ribosomal RNA is filed under the name Electrotaenia malapteruri. Its description in RNAcentral is "partial 28S ribosomal RNA". It matches the Rfam family "Eukaryotic large subunit ribosomal RNA", at positions 74 to 639 of the family's 3401-position model. Lineage: Eukaryota; Metazoa; Platyhelminthes; Cestoda; Proteocephalidea; Proteocephalidae. The record is from RNAcentral.
AUUCCCCUAGUAACGGCGAGUGAAGAGGGAAAAGCCCAGCACCGAAGCCUGCGGCAGUUUUGCUGUUAGGCAAUGUGGUGUUUGGGUCGGCUCGUGGGAUUGCCACUCCACUCGAAGUCCAGCAUUGAGUAUGGUUACUGGAUUCGGCCCAGAGAGGGUGAAAGGCCCGUACGGGUGGAGGUUCAGACAUGUGAGGCGAUCCCCCAGGUCGACCUUAGAGUCGGGUUGUUUGAGAAUGCAGCCCAAAGUGGGUGGUAAACUCCAUCCAAGGCUAAAUACAGACACGAGUCCGAUAGCGAACAAGUACCGUGAGGGAAAGUUGAAAAGUACUCUGAAGAGAGAGUAAACAGUACGUGAAACCGCAUGCAGGUAAACGGGUGGCGUCAAGCUGCAAGCCCAGAGGAUUCAGCCGAUUAGGAUGUAGUGUAUGCGCCUGGCGCAUCUAUCAGCCAGAGUAUGAUUGGAUAGUCCACUGGUAGACGGUGGGCCCGACUUCCCUUGCGGUAGUUGGGAUGUGUGUACCGGGUGGGUGCCGGAGCAUGCUAUCUGUCUGGGGGCUGUCUAGUCGGUGCACUUUCUCUGUGGUGAACACCACGACCGGUGGUAUUGCCAGUCUGCUGUGCCCAAGUUGUGCUCGGUUGGUCCUUGUGGCUAACUGGGUGCAGCGAUCACAAGCAAAUUCAGUAAACGGCGUAGAGGUGUUUCGGCAUUUCUGCGUGUUAUCGGCAACUGGUUGUGAACGGGCCUGCUCGGUGCUUGUUGUAGUCGGCAUCGAGUGGCUCGGUGGGGCAUGGUGGUAAGAAUAACUGUGCAAGGCACCGGUGUUGUCGGCCUCAAAUGCAUUCUGCGCCCAGGCUACAAAUGGCUGGAUGGUGGCGCCGUUGCUGUCUGCCCGGUGUUGGGUCUGAUCGUCGUGUUGUCUGCGCAAAGUGGACCCGGCGGUGGCUCGACUCGGGAUGGGCAGCGGACGGUGUUGCCAGUGCAGGGUGCUGUGGGCCUAAUAGUCAGUGG